Molecule: ribosomal RNA, 497 nt
Filed under: uncultured bacterium
Lineage: Bacteria
Description: partial 16S ribosomal RNA
Rfam family: Bacterial small subunit ribosomal RNA
Source: RNAcentral
GACGAACGCUGGCGGCGUGCCUAAUACAUGCAAGUUGAGCGCUGAAGGUUGGUACUUGUACCAACUGGAUGAGCAGCGAACGGGUGAGUAACGCGUGGGGAAUCUGCCUUUGAGCGGGGGACAACAUUUGGAAACGAAUGCUAAUACCGCAUAAAAACUUUAAACACAAGUUUUAAGUUUGAAAGAUGCAAUUGCAUCACUCAAAGAUGAUCCCGCGUUGUAUUAGCUAGUUGGUGAGGUAAAGGCUCACCAAGGCGAUGAUACAUAGCCGACCUGAGAGGGUGAUCGGCCACAUUGGGACUGAGACACGGCCCAAACUCCUACGGGAGGCAGCAGUAGGGAAUCUUCGGCAAUGGACGAAAGUCUGACCGAGAAACGCCGCGUGAGUGAAGAAGGUUGUCGGAUCGUAAAACUCUGUUGGUAGAGAAGAACGUUGGUGAGAGUGGAAAGCUCAUCAAGUGACGGUAACUACCCAGAAAGGGACGGCUAACUACGUG